UUGUAUCUGAAGUUCGACGAGGAUGAGAACCUCCGGAGGGCAAGAGGUUCGACCCGAGCGAAGCGCGAGAAAAUGUUGCGUCAGCAACGGCCUCGCGCAGGGCGAGCCAUCCUCUCAUCACCGGCA
RNAcentral lists this small RNA (126 nucleotides) under Salmonella enterica subsp. enterica. RNAcentral describes it as "RtT sRNA". It matches the Rfam family "RtT RNA". Rfam says of the family: This family represents a bacterial cis-regulatory element known as RtT RNA. The exact function of RtT is unknown although it is thought that it may be involved in changing the cellular response in relation to amino acid starvation. The record is from RNAcentral. Lineage: Bacteria; Pseudomonadati; Pseudomonadota; Gammaproteobacteria; Enterobacterales; Enterobacteriaceae.